RNAcentral lists this ribosomal RNA (406 nucleotides) under uncultured bacterium. RNAcentral describes it as "partial 16S ribosomal RNA". It matches the Rfam family "Bacterial small subunit ribosomal RNA", at positions 30 to 526 of the family's 1533-position model. The record is from RNAcentral.
AUUGAACGCUGGCGGCAGGCCUAACACAUGCAAGUCGAACGAGUGGCGGACGGGUGAGUAAUAUCUGGGAAACUGACCGAUGGAGGGGGAUCACUAAUGGAAACGGUAGCUAAUAACGCAUAGCAUCGUAGGUGCCCAGAUGGGCUUAGCUAGUCGGUGGGGUAAUGGCUCACAUGGGCGACGAUCCCUAGCUGGUCUGGGAGGAUGACCGGCCACACUGGAACUGAGACACGGUCCAGACUCCUACGGGAGGCAGCAGUGGGGAAUAUUGCACAAUGGGCGAAAGCCUGAUGCAGCCAUGCCGCGUGUAUGAAGAAGGCCUUCGGGUUGUAAAGUACUUUCGGCGGGGAGGCGUUACCCGCAGAAGAAGCACCGGCUAACUCCGUGCCAGCAGCCGCGGUAAUAC